This 506-nucleotide ribosomal RNA is filed under the name uncultured bacterium. RNAcentral's name for it is "partial 16S ribosomal RNA". It matches the Rfam family "Bacterial small subunit ribosomal RNA", at positions 30 to 523 of the family's 1533-position model. The record is from RNAcentral.
AUUGAACGCUGGCGGCAGGCUUAACACAUGCAAGUCGAGCGGUAACAGAGAGAAGCUUGCUUCUCUGCUGACGAGCGGCGGACGGGUGAGUAAUGCCUAGGAAUCUGCCUAGUAGUGGGGGAUAACUUGCCGAAAGGUAAGCUAAUACCGCAUACGUCCUACGGGAGAAAGGAGGGGACCUUCGGGCCUUUCGCUAUUAGAUGAGCCUAGGUCGGAUUAGUUAGUUGGUGAGGUAAUGGCUCACCAAGACCGCGAUCCGUAACUGGUCUGAGGGGAUGAUCAGUCACACUGGAACUGAGACACGGUCCAGACUCCUACGGGAGGCAGCAGUGGGGAAUAUUGGACAAUGGGGGGAACCCUGAUCCAGCCAUGCCGCGUGUGUGAAGAAGGUCUUAGGAUUGUAAAGCACUUUAAGUUGGGAGGAAGAGCAGUUAACUAAUAUUUGACUGUUUUGACGUUACCGACAGAACAAGCACCGGCUAACUUCGUGCCAGCCGCCGCAGUAA